AGUGAACGCUGGCGGCGUGCCUAAUACAUGCAAGUCGAACGGAGUGGCGCACGGGUGAGAAAUAUAUAGCUAAUCUGCCCUUUGCUGGAGGACAACAGAUAGAAAUGACUGCUAAUACUCCAUAGCAAGGGAUGGGACUAUAUCGUAUCAGCUAGUCGGGGGGGUAACGGCCUACCGCGGCUAUGACGCGUAACUGGUCUGAGAGGAUGAUCAGUCACAUUGGAACUGAGACACGGUCCAAGCUCCUACGGGAGGCAGCAGUAGGGAGUAUUGCGCAAUGGGGGAAUCCCUGACGCAGCAACGGCGCGUGGAGGAUGACACGUUUCGGGGCAUAAACUCCUUUUGUUAGUGAAGCGGUACCUAACGAAUAAGCACCGGCUAACUCCGUGCCAGCAGCCGCGGUAAUUC
Molecule: ribosomal RNA, 408 nt
Filed under: uncultured bacterium
Lineage: Bacteria
Description: partial 16S ribosomal RNA
Rfam family: Bacterial small subunit ribosomal RNA
Source: RNAcentral